RNAcentral lists this ribosomal RNA (627 nucleotides) under Porina karnatakensis. Its description in RNAcentral is "SSU rRNA". It matches the Rfam family "Bacterial small subunit ribosomal RNA", at positions 504 to 1219 of the family's 1533-position model. The record is from RNAcentral. Lineage: Eukaryota; Fungi; Ascomycota; Lecanoromycetes; Ostropales; Porinaceae.
UGUGCCAGCAGUCGCGGUAAGACAUGGAAGACAAGCGUUAUUCAUCUUUAUUAGGUUUAAAGGGUACUCAGACAGUUAAUUAAGCCUGCACAAGGGACUGAUUAUACUAGAGUUUGAUAGGAGAAGGCUAGAACGGUUAGUGUAGAGAUAAAAUAUGUUGAUACAACCUUGAUACUGACAACAGCGAAGGCAACCUUUUAUGUAAAAACUGACGUUAAAGGACGAAGGCUAUAAAUAAACAACAGGAUUAGGUACCCUAGUAUUAGUGGCAGUCAAUGAUGAAUGUAAUAGGUAAGUAAUAUAGUUUACCUAUAAAUGAAAAUGUAAACAUUCCACCUUAAGAGUAAAAUGGCAACGUAGGAACUGAAAUCAUUAGACCGUUUCUGAAACCAGUAGUGAAGUAUGUUAGUUAAAUUGAUGAUCCACAAAGAACCUUACCACAACUUGAAUGUUAAUUCACAGGAGUUGCACGGCUGUCUUCAGUUGAUAUCGUGAGAUUUUGGUUAGUUCCAUUAAAUCAACGUAAACCCUUACUUUAAUUUAUACAUAAAGUAGUUCGCCGUUAUAUUGGAUAUGAUAAUAGGGACUAAGACAAGUCAUCAUGACCUAAAAUGUUGUGGGCUAUAG